This 501-nucleotide ribosomal RNA is filed under the name uncultured bacterium. RNAcentral describes it as "bacterial SSU rRNA". It matches the Rfam family "Bacterial small subunit ribosomal RNA", at positions 16 to 507 of the family's 1533-position model. The record is from RNAcentral.
AUCAUGGCUCAGGAUGAACGCUAGCGGCAGGCUUAACACAUGCAAGUCGAGGGGCAGCAUGACGGAACCUUCGGGUUUUGUUGAUGGCGACCGGCGCAAGGGUGCGUAACGCGUGAGCAACUUGCCCGUUUCAGGGGGAUAACCGGUGGAAACGCCGACUAAUACCCCAUAGUAUCAUUAUUAGGCAUCUUUAAUGAUUAAAGAAUUUUGGAAACGGAUAGGCUCGCGUGACAUUAGCUAGAUGGCGGGGUAACGGCCCACCAUGGCGACGAUGUCUAGGGGUUCUGAGAGGAAGGUCCCCCACACUGGAACUGAGACACGGUCCAGACUCCUACGGGAGGCAGCAGUGAGGAAUAUUGGUCAAUGGUCUGACGACUGAACCAGCCAUGCCGCGUGAAGGUCACGGCCCUAUGGGUCUUAAACUUCUUUUGUAAGGGAGCAAUAAGUCCUACGUGUAGGAUGAUGAGAGUACCUUACGAAUAAGCAUCGGCUAACUCCGUG